CUGGAAAGCAGGAAGCUGGUACCUAGUCCAGGAAUCCGUAAUGGAGGAGAAGGCUCUCAGGGUGAACUGGGGAUGAACUCCGGAUACUUAUGGAGGCAAGAUCCUUCAAAGGGAAUAAAACAAAGCCAGGAGACAGGUACCUAGAGGUGGCCACAGACUGGCAUAUCCUUGAGGAUCUUAUUUCUGGAUCCUGCUUUAUGUACUGCUGUGCCUGCCACUUAACAUAGAGCUGUUGAAUGAAUGGAUGAUUCUAGA
This is a long non-coding RNA of Neogale vison (American mink), 255 nucleotides long. RefSeq lists it as uncharacterized. The record is from RefSeq and is a predicted model, not a curated record. The transcript has 3 exons. Lineage: Eukaryota; Metazoa; Chordata; Mammalia; Carnivora; Mustelidae.